UGGCGGACGGGUGAGUAAUGUCUGGGAAACUGCCUGAUGGAGGGGGAUAACUACUGGAAACGGUAGCUAAUACCGCGUAACGUCGCAAGACCAAAGAGGGGGACCUUCGGGCCUCUUGCCAUCGGAUGUGCCCAGAUGGGAUUAGCUAGUAGGUGAGGUAACGGCUCACCUAGGCGACGAUCCCUAGCUGGUCUGAGAGGAUGACCAGCCACACUGGAACUGAGACACGGUCCAGACUCCUACGGGAGGCAGCAUG
Molecule: ribosomal RNA, 256 nt
Filed under: uncultured bacterium
Lineage: Bacteria
Description: partial 16S ribosomal RNA
Rfam family: Bacterial small subunit ribosomal RNA
Source: RNAcentral